RNAcentral lists this small RNA (1637 nucleotides) under Cryptococcus neoformans H99. RNAcentral describes it as "Cryptococcus neoformans var. grubii H99 hypothetical RNA". The record is from RNAcentral. Lineage: Eukaryota; Fungi; Basidiomycota; Tremellomycetes; Tremellales; Cryptococcaceae.
AGCUUAGCCCGAGCCUAACCAUGUUUUGCGAGCCUCGCUGGGAUCUCACGUUUAGAUCUCCCAAUGAUGAUAGAGUUGCACUGCCCCGGCAAGCAAGCUGUAUAAAUAACUUUUAAUCUCCGAGACUCCGCUGUUUGUGGAAAAAGAAAAGCAAACAUCGGGACAUUUCGCAAUAAGAUCUGCCUGCCCCACGGGGAUACAAGAAACAUACAUAUGAGAACAUCGACAUGCAAUUCGUUGUCCGUUGCCCUAUCGUAAUAUAAAACAUCAAGAACUAUAGUUAUUGUCCGUUGCCCCAACAUGUCGGAAUAUAAAUCACCAAAGCCAGUGUCCGUUACCACCCCCUAGAAGGAUUUGCCUACCAUCGACGCCCUAAAGCGCCAAACCCAUACCCAAAACGGUCCCUAGGAUACCUACACUCAACGUCAUCAGGACGCCACCGGGUAAUACCUGUUCACCGCCACUAGAUUCCGUGGUGCUGGAUCCAGAAGCGGCCGCGGCGGUUAUAGCAGAGGUAGCCGCAGCGGUUGACCCGCCACUUGUGAAAGAGCCGCUAGCAGCAGUGCUUUUAUCUGCGGAUGGAGCGGUGGCGUUCCCGACGACUCCGACGCCGUAAGCCUUAGUUGACGCUCCAUCCAAAGCCCACAUCAAGCCUCCCAUGAGGUGACCUAUAAAGGUCUGAUCCUGCCAUGCUGAAAUGGUGUCCCAAAGAAGUGUAAAAGGAUCGGCCAGCUUUAGAAACCGACUCUGCGAAAGGCUGAGCAGAAAGAGGAGACUCGAUAUACCAUGCGAUUGGGUGAGGCGAACCAUGGAUUUGAGAGUAAUCACCUGUGGAACUGCCGUUGUCUAUACCAAAAGUCAAGACAACGAUAGCGCCGUUGUCUCGAGGAUUCGAGCUAAAGUAAUAGACUUCUUCUUGCUACAAUUGGCAUUCAUAAACGUUUGCCGCCAGCGAUGACGUGCAGCACUUACGAAAGUCCAUCGAUCAGGUACAUUAGCCACAGAGGGUUUGAAGUGGAGGGUGGUAGUCGAAGAAGGCUAUGCAUAUGCCGGUUAGGCAUUAUUCGUACGUGCGCUUUACGGCAUGAACUUACCUCCCAAAGCCAGCCCAUAGUUGGGAUCGUCGGUCAGACAAGUAGAAGCAGAGUGCACGCCGGUGUAAACUCCUCCGGACUGGAAGAAUGUCUGCAAAGCAGCCUUGCCAGGUGCGUCCAACACUUGAAUGCAAUAAAUCAGUAUACUAUUCACAUGUGAAUGGGCGUCGCACACCUUCUUCCGAGUUGGACACGAACAUAACACCGUCGAAACCACUCAAAGUUUCAUUGGUGAACAUGUGCAUAUCCCUGCUUUCGUACAAAUUGGACACCAUACUUGUCAGCAUUCUGACCAAGAACCUCUAUGGCAGUUGGGAUAGAAUCGUGGCGGUAACCGUCUGGAGCUGUAGCACUAUAGACGAGUACUCUGGGAGUCGACUGCUGGGCAUAUGAGGCUGCCGCCAGAAGGAGAGGAGUAAUUACUGGGAGGAGCAUUGUACGGGGUACGGGUUUACAGAGGAAGUGGGAAAGAGAGCAGAGCAAGAGAAACAAAUGAAUGACACCGAUGACGCAGAAAGAGAGAAGGGCAUGUGACAAAGUUGU